This 832-nucleotide ribosomal RNA is filed under the name Sphingobacterium sp. Its description in RNAcentral is "bacterial SSU rRNA". It matches the Rfam family "Bacterial small subunit ribosomal RNA", at positions 52 to 876 of the family's 1533-position model. The record is from RNAcentral. Lineage: Bacteria; Pseudomonadati; Bacteroidota; Sphingobacteriia; Sphingobacteriales; Sphingobacteriaceae.
UACAUGCAAGUCGGACGGGAUCCAUCGGAGAGCUUGCUCGAAGAUGGUGAGAGUGGCGCACGGGUGCGUAACGCGUGAGCAACCUACCUCUAUCAGGGGGAUAGCCUCUCGAAAGAGAGAUUAACACCGCAUAACAUCAACAGUUCGCAUGUUCGGUUGAUUAAAUAUUUAUAGGAUAGAGAUGGGCUCGCGUGACAUUAGCUAGUUGGUAGGGUAACGGCCUACCAAGGCGACGAUGUCUAGGGGCUCUGAGAGGAGAAUCCCCCACACUGGUACUGAGACACGGACCAGACUCCUACGGGAGGCAGCAGUAAGGAAUAUUGGUCAAUGGGCGGAAGCCUGAACCAGCCAUGCCGCGUGCAGGAUGACUGCCCUAUGGGUUGUAAACUGCUUUUGUCCAGGAAUAAACCUAAAUACGUGUAUUUAGCUGAAUGUACUGGAAGAAUAAGGAUCGGCUAACUCCGUGCCAGCAGCCGCGGUAAUACGGAGGAUCCGAGCGUUAUCCGGAUUUAUUGGGUUUAAAGGGUGCGUAGGCGGCCUAUUAAGUCAGGGGUGAAAUACGGUGGCUCAACCAUCGCAGUGCCUUUGAUACUGAUGGGCUUGAAUCCAUUUGAAGUGGGCGGAAUAAGACAAGUAGCGGUGAAAUGCAUAGAUAUGUCUUAGAACUCCGAUUGCGAAGGCAGCUCACUAAGCUGGUAUUGACGCUGAUGCACGAAAGCGUGGGGAUCGAACAGGAUUAGAUACCCUGGUAGUCCACGCCCUAAACGAUGAUAACUCGAUGUUGGCGAUAGACAGCCAGCGUCCCAGCGAAAGCGUUAAGUUAUCCACCUGA